AGUCUUCUGCCCAUUGUAUUUAAAAGGCUGCAGUAUAUUAACUGUACAAAGGUAGCAAAAUAAAUAGUUUUUUAAUUGAAAACUUGAAUGAAAGAGUUAAUAAAAUAUAGAUUGUUUCAAAUAUUGAAUUUAAAUAAAAAGUAAAAAUGCUUUUAUUUAUUUAUUAGACGAUAAGACCCUAAGAAUUUGAUAAUUUAAAUUAUUUAAAAAAAUUAUUUAUUUUUAAAUUAUUUUAUUGGGAGGAUAAUUAAAUAACUUUAAUUUUAAAAAAUAUAAAUAAAUAAAUUAAAUGAUUAAUUUUUUAAUUAUAAGAAUUAAUUACCUUAGGGAUAACAGCGUAAUAAUUUUGAAGAGUUCAUAUUGAUAAAAUUGUUUGCGACCUCGAUGUUGAAUUAAAAUAAAAAUUAAAUGAAGAUAUUUAAAUUUUUAGUCUGUUCGACUAUUAAAAUUUUAC
Molecule: ribosomal RNA, 454 nt
Filed under: Protopolybia duckeiana
Lineage: Eukaryota; Metazoa; Arthropoda; Insecta; Hymenoptera; Vespidae
Description: partial large subunit ribosomal RNA
Source: RNAcentral